Molecule: transfer RNA, 72 nt
Filed under: Amborella trichopoda
Lineage: Eukaryota; Viridiplantae; Streptophyta; Magnoliopsida; Amborellales; Amborellaceae
Rfam family: tRNA
About the family: Transfer RNA (tRNA) molecules are approximately 80 nucleotides in length.
Source: Rfam by way of RNAcentral
UUCUCAGUAGCUCAGUGGUAGAGUGGCUGGCUGUUAACUGACUACUCGUAGGUUCGAAUCCUACUUGGGGAA